RNAcentral lists this ribosomal RNA (464 nucleotides) under uncultured bacterium. Its description in RNAcentral is "bacterial SSU rRNA". It matches the Rfam family "Bacterial small subunit ribosomal RNA", at positions 339 to 795 of the family's 1533-position model. The record is from RNAcentral.
CUACGGGAGGCAGCAGUGGGGAAUUUUGGACAAUGGGCGCAAGCCUGAUCCAGCCAUGCCGCGUGCGGGAAGAAGGCCUUCGGGUUGUAAACCGCUUUUGUCAGGGAAGAAACGCGCUGGGCUAAUACCUCGGCGUAAUGACGGUACCUGAAGAAUAAGCACCGGCUAACUACGUGCCAGCAGCCGCGGUAAUACGUAGGGUGCAAGCGUUAAUCGGAAUUACUGGGCGUAAAGCGUGCGCAGGCGGUCGUGCAAGACAGAUGUGAAAUCCCCGGGCUUAACUUGGGAACUGCAUUUGUGACUGCACGGCUGGAGUGCGGCAGAGGGGGAUGGAAUUCCGCGUGUAGCAGUGAAAUGCGUAGAUAUGCGGAGGAACACCGAUGGCGAAGGCAAUCCCCUGGGCCUGCACUGACGCUCAUGCACGAAAGCGUGGGGAGCAAACAGGAUUAGAUACCCUUGUAGUC